GAUGAACGCUGGCGGCGUGCCUAACACAUGCAAGUCGAGCGAAGAUAGAGACGAGUAUUCGUACAAAUUUUUAUCUUAGCGGCGGACGGGUGAGUAACACGUGAGUAACCUGCCUUUCACUGGGGAAUAACAUCGAGAAAUCGGUGCUAAUACCGCAUAAUGUCACGAGACCGCAUGGUUUUGUGACCAAAGGAGUAAUCCGGUGAUAGAUGGACUCGCGUCCGAUUAGAUAGUUGGUGAGGUAACGGCCCACCAAGUCUACGAUCGGUAGCCGAACUGAGAGGUUGAUCGGCCACAUUGGGACUGAGACACGGCCCAGACUCCUACGGGAGGCAGCAGUGGGGAAUAUUGGGCAAUGGGCGAAAGCCUGACCCAGCAACGCCGCGUGAAGGAAGAAGGUCUUCGGAUUGUAAACUUCUUUGAUCAGGGACGAAUAAAUGACGGUACCUGAAGAACAAGCCACGGCUAACUACGUG
RNAcentral lists this ribosomal RNA (476 nucleotides) under uncultured bacterium. RNAcentral's name for it is "bacterial SSU rRNA". It matches the Rfam family "Bacterial small subunit ribosomal RNA", at positions 28 to 507 of the family's 1533-position model. The record is from RNAcentral.